This 253-nucleotide ribosomal RNA is filed under the name uncultured prokaryote. RNAcentral describes it as "partial 16S ribosomal RNA". It matches the Rfam family "Bacterial small subunit ribosomal RNA", at positions 524 to 776 of the family's 1533-position model. The record is from RNAcentral.
CACGUAGGAGACAAGCGUUAUUCGGAUUUACUGGGCGUAAAGCGCGUGCAGGCGGUUCGGUAAGUUGGAUGUGAAAGCUCCUGGCUUAACUGGGAGAGGUCGUUCAAUACUACCGGACUAGAGGAUGGGAGAGGGAGGUGGAAUUCCGGGUGUAGUGGUGGAAUGCGUAGAUAUCCGGAGGAACACCAGUGGCGAAAGCGGCCUCCUGGCCCAUUUCUGACGCUCAGACGCGAAAGCUAGGGUAGCAAACGGG